Cinara cedri is the source of this 303-nucleotide non-coding RNA. The record is from the annotation of a GenBank genome assembly. Lineage: Eukaryota; Metazoa; Arthropoda; Insecta; Hemiptera; Aphididae.
AUAUUCGAUGCGGCGGCGAUGCGAUGACCACAACCAAUGUAAUCGACUGCGUCGCAAAAUUCUGUUCAAAAUUCACACGCUUUUGACACGGUACCGCAAUACAGAACGAACAUACUAUAAUAAUGUAUUCAAUGGAUACUGUCAUACUAUCACGUUUAACCGAUUCAAUAUGGCUGAAAAUGAAAAAUUAAAAUGAAAAAAGUAAAAUUUAAAUGUAUAAAGCAAGCCCAUUGUGAAAAUAUCAUAAAGUAUAAACGCUUUAAAUUGUAAUAAGAAUAACGCAAGUACGUUUGUAUAUACGCU